Molecule: ribosomal RNA, 198 nt
Filed under: uncultured bacterium
Lineage: Bacteria
Description: partial 16S ribosomal RNA
Rfam family: Bacterial small subunit ribosomal RNA
Source: RNAcentral
ACGCUCGACACCUACGGGGGGCAGCAGUGGGGAAUAUUGCACAAUGGGGGAAACCCUGAUGCAGCGACGCCGCGUGAGUGAAGAAGUAAUUCGUUAUGUAAAGCUCUAUCAGCAGGGAAGAAAGUGACGGUACCUGAGUAAGAAGCCCCGGCUAACUACGUGCCAGCAGCCGCGGUAAUCUGAGCGGGCUGGCAAGGC